Molecule: ribosomal RNA, 253 nt
Filed under: uncultured bacterium
Lineage: Bacteria
Description: partial 16S ribosomal RNA
Rfam family: Bacterial small subunit ribosomal RNA
Source: RNAcentral
UACGUAGGUGGCGAGCGUUGUCCGGAUUUACUGGGCGUAAAGGGAGCGUAGGCGGACUUUUAAGUGAGAUGUGAAAUACUCGGGCUCAACUUGAGUGCUGCAUUUCAAACUGGAAGUCUAGAGUGCAGGAGAGGAGAAUGGAAUUCCUAGUGUAGCGGUGAAAUGCGUAGAGAUUAGGAAGAACACCAGUGGCGAAGGCGAUUCCCUGGACUGUAACUGACGCUGAGGCUCGAAAGCGUGGGGAGCAAACAGG